This 779-nucleotide long non-coding RNA is filed under the name Helianthus annuus (common sunflower). RNAcentral's name for it is "hypothetical non coding rna". Lineage: Eukaryota; Viridiplantae; Streptophyta; Magnoliopsida; Asterales; Asteraceae. The record is from RNAcentral.
GGACCCACUUUAACUUCAUCUUCCUCCCUAACCCAUACCACCUCUACUUCGGUCCAUCUUCAACACCAAGUGCCACCAAUCCACUCUGGAAUAAGAACCAUUAUUAAGCUCCGAUCGUUUAUAUAUGAACUCCGACAAAGAAAUAAAACCUACCACCACCGAUUCCUCAACCGACAAAUUUGUCUCACCUCAUCGUCGGUCACACAUGUGAAAUCAUUAUGGUCGCACCAAACUCUCUAUCUCUUUCGUUCUCUCUCUCGAACUAUAAAGUUACGCAAUUCUUGUGUUGAUGAAAGAAGCUUGCUGAUACUUAUAGAAUUCUAGGAAGAUGUUACAAAACUUUUUCUUGCAAUUUCGUUCUCUCUGUUUUGUUUUGACCGAGUUGGGUUUUGGUUGUCGAUGUCAUGCGUUGCCUCGCCGUCGACUCUGGUUCUAUUCGUGAUUUACUACUGUAAUGAAUCAUUACAUCAUAAGAAGAUUUGUUGAAGGGUUAUUGCGAUUUGAUCCUAGAAAAUUUGGAUAUGAAACAUAAAUAACUGGAUCUGAGUGUGGCUCUGUAUCUAUUUUUUCCCAAAUUUUCAGCAUCUUUAAAAUUGAAAGAUAUCAAAUUAUCUAGUUCCAAUAAAGAUGAAGUUCCUUCGAACCAUCCAAUUUAAUCUAAUUUCAUUUUGGACAAGACCUGUGAAGCAUAGAAGAUGGGAGGGGGUUUGUUUUUCGGAUUUGUAAUAUUGUAUUUUAUGUAGUGGCUGGAAUCUUAUCACCGGCGAGUUGGGGAAGAU